AUUGAACGCUGGCGGCAGGCCUAACACAUGCAAGUCGAGCGGAUGAAGGGAGCUUGCUCCUGGAUUCAGCGGCGGACGGGUGAGUAAGGCCUAGGAAUCUGCCUGGUAGUGGGGGAUAACGUCCGGAAACGGGCGCUAAUACCGCAUACGGCCUGAGGGAGAAAGUGGGGGAUCUUAGGACCUCACGCUAUCAGAUGAGCCUAGGUCGGAUUAGCUAGUUGGUGGGGUAAAGGCCUACCAAGGCGACGAUCCGUAACUGGUCUGAGAGGAUGAUCAGUCACACUGGAACUGAGACACGGUCCAGACUCCUACGGGAGGCAGCAGUGGGGAAUCUUGGACAAUGGGCGAAAGCCUGAUCCAGCCAUGCCGCGUGUGUGAUGAAGGUCUUCGGAUUGUAAAGCACUUUAAGUUGGGAGGAAGGUCAGUAAGUUAAUACCUUGCUGUUUUGACGUUACCAACAGAAUAAGCACCGGCUAACUUCGUG
RNAcentral lists this ribosomal RNA (484 nucleotides) under uncultured bacterium. RNAcentral describes it as "partial 16S ribosomal RNA". It matches the Rfam family "Bacterial small subunit ribosomal RNA", at positions 30 to 507 of the family's 1533-position model. The record is from RNAcentral.